GCUUCCUAGCGCUGUCUGACCGUAGGUACGUCACUUACGUUGUCCCUUCUCUCCGGUAUCAGGUAGGGCGACAGUUGUCAAUCGAUCUUAGUAGAAGGAACUUCUCCCGCGGUUCAUCAAAGGUUCUUGAGUCUAGCGUGACAACAUAGACCGAGAUUUGGAAGUCUGCAUCUCCAGAACAGAAGCUUUUCUCCAGCAGCUCUUACUGUGCCGGCGCGCUGAGCUACAUAUGGAGAACGCCAAGACAUAAAUCCAAACGCAGUUCUUCCCUCAAGGAGUUUCCAAUGGGAGCGAGGAUGAUGGUGAAGGUGGGGAGAGAUUCCUGCUGCAAACAGAUCCAAAGUUAUGGGAAUAUUUGACGAACAGCAGUAACUAGGAUAGAUGUCGUUAAACGGUCGCCAUAGGAGGUGACACAUGCGUUCAGCCUUGAGGGAAUCUGGGAAUUCCAGGAAGGUUAAGAAAAACGAUUUCCCUGUUUAAUCCACCAGUAUCGGCUCUGAGGUAGUCAUUUUCCAACUCCUCCACUCCAACAUACAAGACAAUACAGUCAUCUUUACAAACCAGGACCAAGACUGCCCCAAAUCGGCUCUCAAGAGAUAAUCACACUGAAACAAUUUCACUCUUCAGGCUUCGAGUAACCUCCCCAAAGGCUGAGUCGUGGAGAUCGACCUUGUCCUCUAUAAAGCCAAUCCCUUUCUUCCAGCACCGCAGCUUCUAGGCCGAAGCAGGUUGGCGGGAACUCUUGACCAGCAGUCUUGGGGUCUCUGAGGAGCAGACGCUACCCUAAGGCUGACCAGAGCAAAACAUCCUGACCAUUCCAAAGGACGACGCUAGGAGUGCCCGCAGCCAACCCUGCAGCUCUCGGCACAGCGUCCAACUAGAGGGGAUGGAGAUUAGAACCUGAGCAAUCCUGAACAAACUGUUCGGCGGCUUUCGGAACCAUCUGGUUCUCUUCGGGGAGAAAAGAGCAAGACACAAGCUAAAGAGAGGAGCAAACCCAGAAAAGCCUCUGAGAACUCCAGUCUGGACACAUCCAUUUGGACAGCUCCCGACCAAUACUCCGGCUGCUCCCUCAACUGCCCACACCUGACCCUCCGCGUGGGUCUGGGAAAGUCAGUUCCAGGGAGCCUUGGAGGUCCAAGGCACCACCAGUGUAGUGCGCCGCUAUAUCUAAGCAGAGGCGGGGAGAAGGGGUCAUAUUGGACAAAAGGAGCAACUUGUCUAUCUCGCUUCAUUUAGUCUUCAUUUGUAUACGCGUGUGUAUGGGCAGUUAGGUGGUACAGUGACACAGUGGAUAGAGUGCCGGGGCUCCCACUAGCUGUGUGACCCUGGACCAGUACAUUCCUAUUUGCCUCAGUUUCUUCUUCUGUCAAAUUGGCUGGAAAAGAAAAUGGCAAAGCACUUGGAUAUCUUUGACAAGAAAACUUCUAAAGGGGCUACAAAGACACUGGAACAACCGAACAACAAAUUUGCAUUUUGUUUUCAAAGCUGUUUGUUUCCCGAGAUAAUCCACCACAUAACCCUGUCUUCCUCCCAUCACUCACUAAUCAUUAAGGGGCCACUCUGUCGAAGAACCACCCUUUAUUUUUAAAAAAAAAGGGGGGGAGGGGAGGAAAGGACGAGUAGUUAACUCGGAAUCAGACUGAUGUUGUUUCUAGCUUCAUAUAGCUUAUAUUUUUCAGCUCAAAAUUCCCCACGGAUGUAAAAUGAGGGGAAGGAGGGAGUAGAAAGGGAGAGAAGGCUCCAGUAGAAGGUAACUUCUCAUUUGUCGUCUCUUGGGCCAAAACUCAAACACAAUCUCACUACAUUCAGUUAUCAUUGUUUUUGUGGGAAUCAAUUCUUUUGGCUUUCUACAAACCAUCUUGAGUGGCAUUUUCCUGUGUUUAUUUUACUUUAUUUUUCCAUCCUGACCAGUAUUACUGAAUUUACUUUUCCUUUGUUUGGGGCUUUCAAGUUUCCAAAUUACAUUUUAUUGCUGUUUUCAAAUCACAUUUCCCAGUAUAUUUCUCUUUUAUGUCCUCUCAGCCAUCCCAAGAAGGAGAGAGAAACAAAGUUCAACACUCACCAACCUAUAGAAAAGUCUUAAGGUUACUUGCCAUCACCACCCUUUCAACAAGACUGAAAAAGGAGGAGGGACAUAGUGAGCUAUAGAAGUAAUUUUUUACCCACUGACUAAUAAUUUUACCCCACUCUGCUUUCUUUAUUUUGCCCACUUAGUGUAUUCAGUCAAGUGGUCAUUAUGUAUAUUUUCUUGGGGCUGUUCCCCCCUCCUUUCCAUUAGUUCACACAAAUUUUUCCCAUGCCUUUCCUCACUCACCAUUUCUUUGGGUAUAGUUACUAUGCCUUACGAUUACCACAUCUGGUUUAGGGUUUCCCCAUUUGGUGGGCAUCAACUUUGCUUCCAAUUCUUUGCUAGUCAGUAAAAAAAAAAAAAAAAAGCUUUAUUUUUAUAAUAACUUUUUAUUUUUCAAUAUAUAUGCAAAGUUUCCAACAUUGACCAUUGCAAAACCUUGUGUUCCAUAGUUUUCUUCCCCCUUUCCCUAAAUAGCAAGUAAUCCAAUAUAAGUUGAACAUGUACAAUUUUUCCUAAACACAUUUCCAUAUUUAUCAUGUUGCACAAGAAAAAUCAGAUCAGAAAGGGGGAAAAGGGGGGAAAAGAAGAUGAAAAUACUUAUUGUGAUCCAUAAUUCAGUCCCCAGAGUGGUCCUUUCUGGAUACAGAUGGUUUUCUUUAUCACAAGUUAUUGGAAUGGUACUGAAUCAUCACCUCACUGUUGAAAAGAGUCAUGUCUUCACAGUUGAUCAUCACAUAACCUUGUUGUUGCUGUGUACAAUGUUCUUUUGGUUCUACUCACUUCACAGCAUCAGUUAAAGUAAGUCUAGUUUCUCCCAAGCCUUUUUGAAGUCAUCUUCUGAUUGUUUUUUUUUUUUUAAUUAAAGUUCUUUAUUUUCAAAACAUAUGUAAAGAUUUCAACAUUCAUCUUUGCAAAACCUUGUGUUCCAAAUUUUUCCCUCCCUUUCCCCAUCCCCUUCCCUAAAUGGCAAUUUUAUGGUAAAACAUGUGCAGUUCUAUACAUAUUUCCACUAUUAUCAUGCUACUCAAGAAAAAUCAAUGGAUUGUUUCUUAUAAAAUAAUAAUAUUCCAUCACACUCAUAUACCACAGUCAUUCCCCUACUGAUGGGCAUCCACUCCU
Sarcophilus harrisii (Tasmanian devil) is the source of this 3193-nucleotide long non-coding RNA. The record is from Ensembl. Lineage: Eukaryota; Metazoa; Chordata; Mammalia; Dasyuromorphia; Dasyuridae.